AAAUUGAAGAGUUUGAUCAUGGCUCAGAUUGAACGCUGGCGGCAGGCCUAACACAUGCAAGUCGAGCGGUAACACAGAGAGCUUGCUCUCGGGUGACGAGCGGCGGACGGGUGAGUAAUGUCUGGGAAACUGCCUGAUGGAGGGGGAUAACUACUGGAAACGGUAGCUAAUACCGCAUAACGUCGCAAGACCAAAGUGGGGGACCUUCGGGCCUCAUGCCAUCAGAUGUGCCCAGAUGGGAUUAGCUAGUAGGUGGGGUAACGGCUCACCUAGGCGACGAUCCCUAGCUGGUCUGAGAGGAUGACCAGCCACACUGGAACUGAGACACGGUCCAGACUCCUACGGGAGGCAGCAGUGGGGAAUAUUGCACAAUGGGCGCAAGCCUGAUGCAGCCAUGCCGCGUGUGUGAAGAAGGCCUUCGGGUUGUAAAGCACUUUCAGCGGGGAGGAAGGCGAUAAGGUUAAUAACCUUGUCGAUUGACGUUACCCGCAGAAGAAGCACCGGCUAACUCCGUGCCAGCAGCCGCGGUAAUACGGAGGGUGCAAGCGUUAAUCGGAAUUACUGGGCGUAAAGCGCACGCAGGCGGUCUGUCAAGUCGGAUGUGAAAUCCCCGGGCUCAACCUGGGAACUGCAUUCGAAACUGGCAGGCUAGAGUCUUGUAGAGGGGGGUAGAAUUCCAGGUGUAGCGGUGAAAUGCGUAGAGAUCUGGAGGAAUACCGGUGGCGAAGGCGGCCCCCUGGACAAAGACUGACGCUCAGGUGCGAAAGCGUGGGGAGCAAACAGGAUUAGAUACCCUGGUAGUCCACGCCGUAAACGAUGUCGAUUUGGAGGUUGUGCCCUUGAGGCGUGGCUUCCGGAGCUAACGCGUUAAAUCGACCGCCUGGGGAGUACGGCCGCAAGGUUAAAACUCAAAUGAAUUGACGGGGGCCCGCACAAGCGGUGGAGCAUGUGGUUUAAUUCGAUGCAACGCGAAGAACCUUACCUGGUCUUGACAUCCACAGAACUUAGCAGAGAUGCUUUGGUGCCUUCGGGAACUGUGAGACAGGUGCUGCAUGGCUGUCGUCAGCUCGUGUUGUGAAAUGUUGGGUUAAGUCCCGCAACGAGCGCAACCCUUAUCCUUUGUUGCCAGCGGUUAGGCCGGGAACUCAAAGGAGACUGCCAGUGAUAAACUGGAGGAAGGUGGGGAUGACGUCAAGUCAUCAUGGCCCUUACGACCAGGGCUACACACGUGCUACAAUGGCAUAUACAAAGAGAAGCGACCUCGCGAGAGCAAGCGGACCUCAUAAAGUAUGUCGUAGUCCGGAUUGGAGUCUGCAACUCGACUCCAUGAAGUCGGAAUCGCUAGUAAUCGUAGAUCAGAAUGCUACGGUGAAUACGUUCCCGGGCCUUGUACACACCGCCCGUCACACCAUGGGAGUGGGUUGCAAAAGAAGUAGGUAGCUUAACCUUCGGGAGGGCGCUUACCACUUUGUGAUUCAUGACUGGGGUGAAGUCGUAACAAGGUAACCGUAGGGGAACCUGCGGUUGGAUCACCUCCUUACCUUAAAGAA
This 1550-nucleotide ribosomal RNA is filed under the name Klebsiella pneumoniae. RNAcentral's name for it is "bacterial SSU rRNA". It matches the Rfam family "Bacterial small subunit ribosomal RNA". The record is from RNAcentral. Lineage: Bacteria; Pseudomonadati; Pseudomonadota; Gammaproteobacteria; Enterobacterales; Enterobacteriaceae.